GCCAGGCCCAGUGCUAGAAUCUGAGCAGGGAGUUCUCUGGGGCACUUCCACCAUGGCCUGGACUCUGCUUCUGCUUACCCUCCUCAAUCAGGGUUUCUGGGCCCAGUCUGCUCUGACUCAGCCUCCCUCAGUCUCUGGAACUCCUGGACAGUCAGUCACCAUCUCCUGUGCUGGAACCAGCAGUGACAUUGGGAAAUAUAAACAUGUGUCCUGGUUCCAAAGUCAUCCAGGAACAACCCAUAAACUCAUGAUUCACGGUGUUAGUAGUCGGUCCUCAGGGAUCCCUGACCGCUUCUCUGGCUCCAAGUCUGGCACCACAGCCUCUCUGACCAUCUCUGGGCUGCAGCUGGAGGAUGAGGCUGAUUACUACUGCUGUUCAUAUGCAGGCAAUUACAUUUACCACAGUGGGGCAAGUUGA
This is a non-coding RNA of Marmota monax (woodchuck), 418 nucleotides long. The record is from the annotation of a RefSeq genome assembly. Lineage: Eukaryota; Metazoa; Chordata; Mammalia; Rodentia; Sciuridae.